CCCUACAGCCUUUUCUCUUUCCCUCUUCUCCCUCUCUCUUCCCUAAGCUCUCUCUUACUCAGUACUGCGUUGCCUCUACCAAGCCCGAACGGUCGUCGUCCCAUCGCCGGAGUUGGACAUGCGCUAGCUCAGUCUAACCGUCGGCCCUCAAAACGUCGACCCCCGCGAGCUCACCACCGUACGCACCUCCCAGGGCUGUCAACCAAUGAUUCGAAGUCGUCCGCCUCUUGCACUUUCCAGCGAGAUUCCGACUGCCUCAAGCCUCCACAAGCCAAACCAUUACAAUAGAUCUUUGGGCUUCAAAACCCAUAUGGAGAUCGGACUCAACUGUCACCGGAUUUCAGUUUUUGUGUUCGCCAAAAAUCCAUGGAUUUCCAAGAGGUUUUGGCUCCAAUCCAAACACGGUCGGACUUAAGAGAAAUCGCUACCACCCUGAUGUUCCCCAAGCCUUAGGCUUCGAAGCCCAGCCACUGUUUUCCCGAACCACCACCAUGGGGUGGUGCUGCCGCCGUCGUCGCCGGAGCUUCGGUGAGGGUCUCGGCCAGCAACCACUUCUGGGUGUUUCAAGGUUUGUCUCGAGCUCCCAACAUCAUCCUCAACCUCUUUGCACUAUCCAGAGCGCUGUGGAUUAAAGACUAUGGGAAAAAUCUUGGUUGAUUGCUCUUGCUGAGCAAUCUUAUAUAUCUACGGACCUGAGAUAAGUAAAUCUCACCAUACAUGUUUUACUUGCUCAUAUGUUGAUUAAAUGGAUGUAUAUAAACUGCAUGACUUAUGUACUCUUAGAUAUUAUUAAGACGCAAACUCUAUGAACAUGUACGUGUUUCCUGGUUAUGUGGUAUGAGGUGUUUCAAUAAUUGAGAAAGAGUGAUAUGUGAAUGCAAGUGCUUUUUUAGGAAAUUUUUAAUAUAAUUGAUUUUGUACUUGUAGUUGCUUUGUCUAUGUAAUUAAGAAUGACAAACUUUAUGAUUAUGCAAGCAUGGUUUGAUUUUAUAUCUAUGGGUACUUUUUUGAUGAAUGAGUUUUGCGUCUCUCGAUGCUCUGCAGUUGGUAUGACUAGGGAGAACUUUGUAAAUUGUUGUGUUGUAAGUUAAUCUUGACUUUGUUGGCUGCAACAUGAAACAUGCUAGUGUAUUGUUUGUUCUAGUUAUUUACACUAGAUUGAUUAAGGGCUGAAUUAGUAAUGGCUAGGGGUACUAAUAAGUGUACAAAAUGUUUCAAUGAAAUCCAUUGAUUACUAGGCAAUACUUGUACUCAAGCUGAUGACUGGGGUAGGGGAAGCACAGUCGAUUGGCUGUGGACUGAUGGCCAGAGUAGGGGGAAGCACAGCUGAUUGACUAUUCGAGUUGAUGACCGAGGUAGGAGGAAGCACAGUCGAUUGGCUAUGAACUGAUGGUCGAGGUAGAGGGAAGCACGGUUGAUUGACUAUUCGAGCUGAAGACCGGGUUAGGGGGAAGCACAGUUGAUUGGCUAUGAACUGAUGGUCAGGGUAGGGGGAAGCACGGUCGAUUGACUAUGGACUGAUGACCGGGGUAGGGGAAGCAUGGUCGAAUGUCUAUUGAUUCGUAACCAAGGUACUCAGAGGGCGGGGGGAGUCCGGUUGGUGUGUGAAUUUUUUAUGGAAAUGUGAAUCCGGCUAGUUACCAGGAUGAUUUAAUUGUUGUGUUAUUGUGAAAUCCAGUGUGUGUACUAGGACCACGCUGUUGUAAAUCCAAUGAUUUCUAGGUAAUACUAGCACUCGAGCUGGUGACCGGGGUAGGGGAAGCAUGGUCGGCCAAUGAAAUGAUUUAAACAAGUAGAAAAUAACUCGUGAUUUUAGUAGUUGUGAUCUAAGAGGUGCCCGAAUACCUCUUUAUAAUUUUAUAAAUCUUCAGUGAUUUUUGUAGCCAUUGUAUAAUGGUGUUAUGCAUUUAUAUCUUAUAUCUACUUGUUCUAGAAUUUUCUGCGUGCAGGUUGAUAAUAUUAUUAGUUAUUAUCUCUGUGAGUUGAACGGCUGCUGUAAUAUUAGACUUGGUGCAAGUCAUGAACGAUUUGAAUUCAAUACUCAAAUUUUUGUUCAAUAGAGGUGAUCAGUCAAAUGAUGUGAUUAGUAAACCCAAUUUAGGAAAUUGUGUCAAGGACUUGUAAGAGUUUGAUCAUACUCCAUGACCAGUCUUAACAUGCUAAAGAGUACACAUAGUUUAUCGUUGUCCAGUUAGCCUUGUGACCUAAUUUAGGUGUCUCUUUCUUUAGCCUCAGGAUUUGUGUACACUGCUAACAUUUUGUAUGUUGGUUAGAGUGUUGAUUCCCGAGCCUUUAUACAGAAUAUGUUAUAGAAUAGCUAAAGGCUCUUUAAGGGAGAUUAUAGUCAUGUGAUAGUCACGAAAUUAAUAGUAGUGGGGUAGGAAGGUAAAAGUUCCCAGUUAGGGUUUAUGUAAAUAGGUGCUCCUGAGAUUAUCAUAGACCUUAGCAUUGGCACGAAAUAACGUUUUGACCAUUGCGGUCUUGAGGGUGUGGUAUCACCGUAAUUACUAAACUUGUUGCCACCCCUUAGUGAAAGGUUAUAGCGGAACCCUAGUUGAGGGAUUUUAUUUUGCAUAGUACUAUGAUAUUGGAUUAACAUAAUCCUAUGCUAUUUUCUUUUAGUAGUUAAUACUUGUGGCCACUACUUUGUCAAAUUUAUAAUUGAUUAUUGGAGCAUGAAUUUAUAGUGUAUGAAUUAAUGAUGACCGAAUGUGGACACAUAUGAGUGUCCUAUGCAUGUUACACUCAUGGCUAUGUUAUCCUGCCAUGCAUCAUCAAGUUACAAUAUAAGUAUAUAGGCAUACAUUCAAUGCAUGGGAUUUACUUACUGGGUGUGAGCUCAUUAAUUUGUUGUUUCCUCCUUUUCAGGUGUGGCUUGAUACUUGGAUCUCUUGUGGACUUUGGACUUAGUAACAAUGACUUUUAUGGAUGGUAUUUUUAGAAGUCUUGUAUUA
Humulus lupulus (European hop) is the source of this 2954-nucleotide long non-coding RNA. RefSeq lists it as uncharacterized. The record is from RefSeq and is a predicted model, not a curated record. NCBI's taxonomy places the organism in Eukaryota, Viridiplantae, Streptophyta, Magnoliopsida, Rosales, Cannabaceae. The transcript has 2 exons.